RNAcentral lists this unclassified non-coding RNA (253 nucleotides) under uncultured Trueperaceae bacterium. RNAcentral describes it as "contains 16S-23S intergenic spacer region". It matches the Rfam family "Bacterial small subunit ribosomal RNA", at positions 524 to 776 of the family's 1533-position model. The record is from RNAcentral. Lineage: Bacteria; Thermotogati; Deinococcota; Deinococci; Trueperales; Trueperaceae.
UACGGAGGGUGCAAGCGUUAUCCGGAAUCACUGGGCGUAAAGGGCGUGUAGGCGGUCUGCUAAGUCCGAUGUUAAAGAGUGGGGCUCAACCCCAUCACGGCGUUGGAUACUGGCGGGCUUGACGGCUGGAGAGGCAAGUGGAAUUACCAGUGUAGCGGUGGAAUGCGUAGAUACUGGUAGGAACACCCAUUGCGAAGGCAGCUUGCUGGACAGCACGUGACGCUGAGGCGCGAAAGUGUGGGGAGCAAACCGG